UGGCUCAGUUGGUAGAGCAUGGCGCUUGUACCGCCAGGGUUGUGUGUUCGAUUCUCAC
This 58-nucleotide transfer RNA is filed under the name Salmo salar (Atlantic salmon). It matches the Rfam family "tRNA", at positions 8 to 63 of the family's 71-position model. Rfam says of the family: Transfer RNA (tRNA) molecules are approximately 80 nucleotides in length. Their secondary structure includes four short double-helical elements and three loops (D, anti-codon, and T loops). Further hydrogen bonds mediate the characteristic L-shaped molecular structure. tRNAs have two regions of fundamental functional importance: the anti-codon, which is responsible for specific mRNA codon recognition, and the 3' end, to which the tRNAs corresponding amino acid is attached (by aminoacyl-tRNA synthetases). tRNAs cope with the degeneracy of the genetic code in two manners: having more than one tRNA (with a specific anti-codon) for a particular amino acid; and 'wobble' base-pairing, i.e. permitting non-standard base-pairing at the 3rd anti-codon position. Lineage: Eukaryota; Metazoa; Chordata; Actinopteri; Salmoniformes; Salmonidae. The record is from Rfam by way of RNAcentral.